Molecule: transfer RNA, 73 nt
Filed under: Candidatus Aenigmatarchaeota archaeon
Lineage: Archaea; Nanobdellati; Candidatus Aenigmatarchaeota
Description: tRNA-Pro
Rfam family: tRNA
About the family: Transfer RNA (tRNA) molecules are approximately 80 nucleotides in length. Their secondary structure includes four short double-helical elements and three loops (D, anti-codon, and T loops). Further hydrogen bonds mediate the characteristic L-shaped molecular structure. tRNAs have two regions of fundamental functional importance: the anti-codon, which is responsible for specific mRNA codon recognition, and the 3' end, to which the tRNAs corresponding amino acid is attached (by aminoacyl-tRNA synthetases). tRNAs cope with the degeneracy of the genetic code in two manners: having more than one tRNA (with a specific anti-codon) for a particular amino acid; and 'wobble' base-pairing, i.e. permitting non-standard base-pairing at the 3rd anti-codon position.
Source: RNAcentral
GGGGCUAUAGUCUAGCUUGGUAUGAUGCAAGGUUCGGGACCUUGUGGCCCCGGUUCGAAUCCGGGUAGCCCCA